GACGAACGCUGGCGGCGUGCUUAACACAUGCAAGUCGAGCGGAAAGGCCCUUCGGGGUACUCGAGCGGCGAACGGGUGCGUAACACGUGAGUAACCUGCCCCAGACUUUGGGAUAACCCUCGGAAACGGGGGCUAAUACCGGAUACGACACAGCUUCGCAUGGGGUCUGUGUGGAAAGUUUUUCGGUUUGGGAUGGGCUCGCGGCCUAUCAGCUUGUUGGUGGGGUUAUGGCCUACCAAGGCGACGACGGGUAGCCGGCCUGAGAGGGCGACCGGCCACACUGGGACUGAGACACGGCCCAGACUCCUACGGGAGGCAGCAGUGGGGAAUAUUGCACAAUGGGCGGAAGCCUGAUGCAGCGACGCCGCGUGAGGGAUGACGGCCUUCGGGUUGUAAACCGCUUUCAGCAGGGACGAAGCGUAAGUGACGGUACCGGCAGAAGAAGCGCCGGCCAACUACGUG
Molecule: ribosomal RNA, 462 nt
Filed under: uncultured bacterium
Lineage: Bacteria
Description: partial 16S ribosomal RNA
Rfam family: Bacterial small subunit ribosomal RNA
Source: RNAcentral